AGAUCACGAGGAUCAAUUGAAAUUUAUUAGUUUGAUAUUAGUCAAAGAUUUAAGUAUUACGACACGGGAUCAUGGCAGAAACUUGCCGGUAAGAUACGAUAUAGUGCGUGCCUGAUCGUAUCGAUGCGUGCCGAUCACAAAAAAUAUAUAUAUGCCGACACGUAAUGAUAUAAAAUAUUUUUUUAACAGUAAAAUAUGUUAAUUAUUUGUUAUGUAUUUUUAUCAAAUCUUUUGAACUGUAUUGAAAAAAUUAUUUACUAAUUUUAAGAAUAGAGGGUUUUGAGUUGUGCCAUCAACACAGAGACUGUAUCGUGCCGAUAUAUACCUUGCUUAUGCAAUAGGGCACGGU
RNAcentral lists this long non-coding RNA (349 nucleotides) under Ananas comosus (pineapple). RNAcentral describes it as "long non-coding RNA (ACOM_LNC021991)". Lineage: Eukaryota; Viridiplantae; Streptophyta; Magnoliopsida; Poales; Bromeliaceae. The record is from RNAcentral.